GUCUCAAAGAUUAAGCCAUGCAUGUCUAAGUACAAGCCUGAAUAAGGUGAAACCGCGAAUGGCUCAUUAAAUCACACCUAAUGUACCGGACAGUUCCACUUACUUGGAUAACUGCGGUAAUUCUGGAGCUAAUACAUGCUUAAAAGCCCUGACUCACGAAAGGGCGCAUUUAUUAGAUCAAAACCAAACCGCUUGCGGUUUUAUUGGUGAAUCUGAAUAACUCUAUGCUAAUCGUAUGUGCUCCACGCCGACGAUGUGUCCGUCCAAGGUGUGCCCUAUCAACUGUCGACUGUGGCAUAGACGCCCACAGUGGUUUUGACGGGUAACGGGGAAUUAGGGUUCGAUUCCGGAGAGGGAGCCUGAGAAACGGCUACCACUUCUAAGGAAGGCAGCAGGCACGCAAAUUACCCAAUGGUCGAAGACCGAGGUAGUGACGAAAAAUAACGAUACCGGUCUCUUCCGAGGCCCGGUAAUCGGAAUGAGUACACUUUAAAUCCUUUAACGAGGAACAAUUGGAGGGCAAGUCUGGUG
Molecule: ribosomal RNA, 531 nt
Filed under: Poecilostomatoida sp. CP14
Lineage: Eukaryota; Metazoa; Arthropoda; Copepoda; Poecilostomatoida
Description: SSU rRNA
Rfam family: Eukaryotic small subunit ribosomal RNA
Source: RNAcentral